GCCACUGAUCUUCAUCUCCGCCGACGCUGAUCAUCAUUGCUUUAAUCGGACGAUUCCAAAAACCGAGUACACAUGCACCCACCCUUUUACAACUGAUACCAUCGCCUGCCCCGAAUCCAGGUACGGCGAUAAACAUCACAUCCAGAUCCGGCGAAAACCAUCGCGAAAUCGAUAGCGGCAACUGAGGUAAUCCCUUUCUUUCCUGAAUCGCAGCAGGUACCGAUAUCGUCUCCCACAUCGGUUAACCACCAUCGUCACCACAAUCACCGUCGCUCGCUACGUGUAAAACCCUAGCCUUGCCUAGCACCUGCCCUAAUCGAACACUAGGGCGUCGGAAUCAUCAUCACCCAAUCGGGUAUAACAACACCAGGAACCUGCUGUUGGAAUGCACCAAAUUUACAGAUUCUAGGUCUAAGCAUUCGCAUGAGGGAAGGGCGGAGUUUUUGGCUGAGUUGUCGAUUAUGGCGUGUGAUAAGAAUCUUGUCCUACUCCAAGGAUGGUGUGUUGAAAAAGGCGAGUAUAUGUCAUUUGGGAGUAUUGAUUAAGUGGUGUUGUAUCAAGAGUCUGGACAUUGGUGGUUCUUGAAAUGGAACCAUAGGUAUAAUAUUGAAGUUAGGUUGGCUUCAGUUUUGGCAUACCUUCAUCAAUAGUGCGAUCAAAAAGUGAUUCAUCGCGAUAGUAAAUCGAGUAAUGUGAUGCUAAUUUUAAUUCUCGGUUAGGUGAUUUCGGGCUGGCCCAGAUCAUGGACCAUGAUAAAAGCAUGGUCUCUACACUAAUUGCGGGGAUCAUGGGUUAUUUA
Molecule: long non-coding RNA, 799 nt
Organism: Helianthus annuus (common sunflower)
Lineage: Eukaryota; Viridiplantae; Streptophyta; Magnoliopsida; Asterales; Asteraceae
Exons: 3
Source: RefSeq, a predicted model, not a curated record